This 253-nucleotide ribosomal RNA is filed under the name uncultured bacterium. RNAcentral describes it as "partial 16S ribosomal RNA". It matches the Rfam family "Bacterial small subunit ribosomal RNA", at positions 524 to 776 of the family's 1533-position model. The record is from RNAcentral.
UACGAAGGGGGCUAGCGUUGCUCGGAAUUACUGGGCGUAAAGCGCACGUAGGCGGCUCUUUAAGUCGGGGGUGAAAUCCUGGAGCUCAACUCCAGAACUGCCUUUGAUACUGGAGAGCUCGAGUCCGGGAGAGGUGAGUGGAACUGCGAGUGUAGAGGUGAAAUUCGUAGAUAUUCGCAAGAACACCAGUGGCGAAGGCGGCUCACUGGCCCGGUACUGACGCUGAGGUGCGAAAGCGUGGGGAGCAAACAGG